Ictalurus punctatus (channel catfish) is the source of this 2107-nucleotide long non-coding RNA. The record is from Ensembl. Lineage: Eukaryota; Metazoa; Chordata; Actinopteri; Siluriformes; Ictaluridae.
GUUUCCUCAAAUGUUUUGAGUUAAAUGAACUUAUCCGGUUGUACAGUGUACAUAUUGCUUGCUGUUCGCGAACUAAUUGUUUGUGAUUAGCUAACAUGCUUCCUCUGUGCAACUCUAGCUAGCUUAUUUAAUUGGAAGGUAGCAUGAGUUAGCUAGCUUCGUGGCUUUGUUUUUCUUUUCUUUUUUUUAUUGAUAAACAAAUUGUUGUACAUCAGUCUAGCACCUAAUUAAUUCCAGGUGACUGUCAUGUACCAAGUAGCUAACCCUGUAGGUGAUUUCAGUCGAUGAAGAAGUCCCGACAAUGUCAGGACGGACCAGUGGAGGGGACGACUGCAUUUCUAGAUAUGCUUCAUGACGUCAGAAUGACAACAUGAACGAAACAGAUCGAGAUUAGCUGACUGGACAUUGUCCAGUUCAUAAAACUAGCUCACUUUUGCCUUAUUUCCACUACUCGGCAUAUAAACAUCUGUGUUGUUGCUAUAACAACUGCUUUGGAUGUGUGAGCCUGUGCAACUACAGUACGUACAAAAAAAAAAAAAAAGAAAAGAUUUGAUCUCAUGUAAUUUGCAAUGUGGACACUGUCAAAAAAAAAUCGGAUUUAAGAAAAGAAAUUAGAUUCGCGCUGCUGUCUGAAAUCUUUGAAGGUGCCGUAGUUUCGCGUGAAGCGCCUGCAUAUUGCAGAAACGAUGAAAUGAAAUUUUAAUGUUAAUAUAAAUAUUAAAAAGGGUUACGUUUCUCCUGUGGUGGAACUUUAGAAACGACUACAGAGCGCAGACCACUCAAAUCAGACUGUGCUGAAAUAUUAAUAAUAUGUUUGUAGCGAGAGAGUCGGUCUAAUGCGAGGUUAUGUUAUGCAAGAAGACGGUGUGGGGAUAAAAAUAAAUAAAUAAAUAAAUAAAAUAAAACACCCCACUCGGUCAGUAAUGCAAGCUGCAAGUGUGUGGACGGAGAAAUUAUUAAUGCAGCACAAACACAGUGCUGAAAACUGACCGGGGGAAAUAAAAUCCUUUGUACACAGAUGUAGGAUCAGCUCCUUCAACCCAAAACUUAACCUUUACUAUUGUUAGAUUAUAUCGAGAACUGAUCCAGGAUCAGUGGGUUUGAUUGCUUUUUAUUUCCCAACCUUAAUUGUCUGUAAAUGUGCGAAUGCAAUCAGUAAUUAGUUUGUAACGAAGCUUAAUAUUUUUCUCUUACCAUAUAAAGGUUUGCUAUGUAUAUUGUAAUUGUAAUAUAUUACAGUGUAUUAUCCAUUUUUUUCAGCAUUUUUUGAUAGAGUGUACAGACUGGGCUCCGUUCACCUCGAGCAAUCAGUUUUCUAAUCCAAAUCCCAUUGACGGCUUUAAUAAUUGAUGAACGGCUGCCACCAUACUUUAUAUAUUAAAGUAACUGGAGUACAUGUGAAUAUAUCGAGCUGUCAGGAUCAGUUAAGAGAAAUUGUGUUAUAUUGUCUCUGCUUUCGCAGGGCAAGAAGUGAUUUAAUGUUUAAUCUGCAAAUCUACACUUCCACAUCACCGUAACCGACUCGAUAUGAUGCUGUUACAAUGUCAUGAUGCUUUUUGUUUUUGUUUCAGUGUUGGUUGCAUAAUUUUAAUUUACCUGUGUGUCUUUGUCGUUUAUAAUUCGGUGAUAACCACGGCAUAAAAUCUUCGUAACGAGAUGUUAAUUGACAUUGCAGGGAUGGACAAAUCAUAAAUUCAUUAGCUAGCCCACUGGGAAAGUAAAAGCUCCAACGUGCAGCCCAUUCUCGUGUUUUGCUGCCCAGAAGUCCAAUUAAUUAGGCUGAAAAGCUGGCACGUAAUUUAACUCAAAAAUAUGACGAUGUAAUUAUGUGCAUUAAUAUAGAUUGUGGAAAAGUAAUGAGCACUUGAAUCCCUGAGAGCAGCGGAUUUACGUAGCUUUAGUCUUUAUCCUCUCCUCAGGUUCCGGUGAUGAAGCAUCACAUUUGCCCCCCAGUGCCCAACCCCACAACUUUUUGGCUAAUGUCUGAGAGGAGACAUGCGCUUCCCUAGGACUGACCAGUAGUGAGAUCAGAGAGAGAGAGAGAGAGAACAAGGAAAAGCUUGGUGGGAAGUCAAGGGUCGAAGCAUAGAGUCCGUCAGGAAGCAGC